This 3211-nucleotide long non-coding RNA is filed under the name Triticum aestivum (bread wheat). Its description in RNAcentral is "long non-coding RNA (TAES_LNC023870)". The record is from RNAcentral. Lineage: Eukaryota; Viridiplantae; Streptophyta; Magnoliopsida; Poales; Poaceae.
GCCGGUGGCUGCUUCGCGUUCGUCGGUAGGUUGCGGCGCUGUUGCUGCCCAUAUGGGCUCCCAGUGGCCGGGGCUGGCUGGGCUCCCAGGAGCCGGCCUCCCCGCCUCCUCCAACAUCGCCUGGAGAGGAGCUCCUCUGUGCUUCCUAGCCGCCUCCUCCAGCAGGCCAGCCAGAGCUGCCGCCCCUCUCUUUCAGCUUUUCUCUUCAGCUUCUUCUUCUUCUUCUUCUCUAAUCUCCCUUCUCCUUCUUCUCUCUCUAAUCUCUGCUUUCUCCAGAGAAGGGAGUUGCCACAUGGAACACAACCAGAACGCCUCGCCUUGGAGCUCGCUGCCUCCGGUAACCUCUCUGUCGGCCUCGUGCUCCUCUGCCUCGAGCGCCGCCUCCUACCCGUCGUCCAUCUCCUGGAGGUGCCUGUCAGGCAGGGGUUGAUGCUUAUCCUCGACUCUCUCUGUCAGCUCUCUCCUUCUCCAGGCCGAGGAGGAUGAAUGGGGCUAUCGCAGGUCGGCCGCUACGUCCGCGUUGACUGCGGGCGAGCGCGCACGACCGACACAUACGACCCCGCCUCUGCUCCUACUCAUUCUCUGUCACGACCGGUUUUUUAAUAAAAUAUUUAUUGAGAGACCAAUCCCUUUUACGGACCAGUAAAGAAAAAUUCCUUCUCACUGGUAGACAAUAUCUUGGUCACAGAAGAAAAAUACCAGGAGUACUAAAUAUAAUACAAGGUUGAGCGGGGACUGCUCAACAAUUUAUUACAUGCACGCCGACAAAACAUAACGGCGGAUAGGGUGGCAAGACUACUAACUCACGAUAACAACGGUGGUGGAAAUAUCACCGCGAAGUGGGUGAUAUGGCUCCUGAAAACUACAGCUCUUCGAGCGUCGGAGUGAGGCUCGAGGAGACUUAUUGCGGGUGGCGGAAGCGAAUAUAAUACAAGUGACCAAUAUCCGGGAUCGCACAGGACUGACUGGGACUCCUCUAGGCGUCGGACGCACUAUCAAACUCUUCAUCCAAGAGAUCGCCUUCGUCAACAUCUGGCCAAAUCAACAAGCCAGGUGAGUACUAUGAAAGUACUCGCAAGACAGUUCGGACAUAAGAUAUAACAAAUGUAAACAUGAAGCAUAUGAACAGAUUAACAAGUGCGUUCAGACAUAGAGAAAAUAAUGCUCGGUUUUUAAGAAGUCGGAACGUUUUUUUAGAAUUUGGAGCAUUUUUAAAAGCGUUAAUUUUUUAAAGGAAAAAGAUUUGAAACACUCCUUAUCUUAAAUAAAAGAACAUGCUCGGUGUGCAAUUAAAAAAGGAUUGUUGGUGUCCAUACCAUGUAGUAUAAAGUUGAGAAAGUCUUGGGAUGCCCUUUGAUGGCGGUCUUUCAGCUUAGCACUAUCAUCGGAUGGAAGAGGAAUGGUGUAAUUGUUUUUAGCAAGAUAUGCAAACGGUGGAAUUGUUGUAUACUAUUCGAGAGUUUAAUAACUAAUCCAAAAAAAAUUCAUAGAAUUUUCAAAAGACUUGCAAAGUAAUUAUUUUGCAUUAAGGUGUAGUGAUGCAUUGAAGUGGGAUUAUUUAUAUACAAUUUUUCUGUUAUAUUCGAAAGCAAACAUAUUUUACUAUGUUAAUUAUUUUUUAGAAAAUGUUGAUUAUUUGAUUUGCAAGAUUAUAUUUCGUUCUUUUCUUUUGCACUAUUCGAACUUGGCGAUCGUCUUCAUAAGAAAAGGCGAGCUUUUCUCUAUUCCCCAUCACACGUAAAUUUUGGAUGGACUGUUUUUAAAAAAAAGGUAAAUUUCAAGAUGCACCGUUGUAACAUUCUCUCUACUCUUCAUCCCCCUCUCUCUCCUCCCUAUUUCACCAACGACGUCAGUGACAUCCAGAGUUGAGGAAUACCUUAAUUGUCAGCAAGUCCCGAUGAGCUCCAAAUACUUGAGAAACAUUUAUUUCCGGUAUUUCACUCAUUUUAAAUUAUUGUAUCUGAUAAUGUAUUCAUAAGAUGCGGAAGGCAUGAAUGACAGUAACAACAAACAACUGCACUUGCAAGUAAUUAUAUCGAUGCUCAUUUAGAAGGAAAAUUUUGCAACCGAAGCUAGCACGCAUAGUUCCUGUGGCUUCUGGUCGGUUCAGCCAUUAAAGAAGGCAUCAAAAAUCCCCACCGAGCAGCUUCUAUGUGGACCUUAUCCACAUCGUCGUUCCUCUCUAGCAGCGCUGCUUCUCCUUCCUUCUCUCUAUCCAUCCAUCAGCGGCUCUGCUCUCCUUCCCCUCUCUCUAUCCGUGCUGCAGCCACAUACACACACACACGCCCACAGCACUGCUUCCCCCUCUCUCUUCUUCCUCCACAAGGAACCAAGCAUCACUCUUUGCUUGACCGUGGCGCCAGAAUCGAGCUCGGAUGCGCGCGGUAAGCUCCUACCUCCCCGCCCCUGAUCCCCUCUUCCUUUGGUGUUCGUUCCAUUGACCCCAUCUCUCUCUUUCGAUUUCCCAGGCUGUCUCGCCGGUGGCUGCUUCGCGUUCGUCGGUAGGUUGCGGCGCUGUUGCUGCCCAUAUGGGCUCCCAGUGGCCGGGGCUGGCUGGGCUCCCAGGAGCCGGCCUCCCCGCCUCCUCCAACAUCACCUGGAGAGGAGCUCCUCUGUGCUUCCUAGCCGCCUCCUCCAGCAGGCCAGCCAGAGCUGCCGCCCCUCUCUUUCAGCUUUUCUCUUCAGCUUCUUCUUCUUCUUCUUCUCUAAUCUCCCUUCUCCUUCUUCUCUCUCUAAUCUCUGCUUUCUCCAGAGAAGGGAGUCUCCACAUGGAACAGAACCAGAACGCCUCGCCUUGGAGCUCGCUGCCUCCGGUAACCUCUCUGUCGGCCUCGUGCUCCUCUGCCUCGAGCGCCGCCUCCUACCCGUCGUCCAUCUCCUGGAGGUGCCUGUCAGGCAGGGGUUGAUGCUUAUCCUCGACUCUCUCUGUCAGCUCUCUCCUUCUCCAGGCCGAGGAGGAUGAAUGGGGCUAUCACAGGUCGGCCGCUACGUCCGCGUUGACUGCGGGCGAGCGCGCAUGACCGACACAUACGACCCCGCCUCUGCUCCUACUCAUUCUCUGUCACGACCAGUUUUUUAAUAAAAUAUUCAUUGAGAGACCAAUCCCUUUUACGGACCAGUAAAGAAGAAUUCCUUCUCACUGGUAGACAAUAUCUUGGUCACAGAAGAAAAAUACCAGGAGUACUGAAUAUAAUACAAGGUUGAGCGGGGA